Molecule: long non-coding RNA, 285 nt
Filed under: Brassica napus (rape)
Lineage: Eukaryota; Viridiplantae; Streptophyta; Magnoliopsida; Brassicales; Brassicaceae
Description: long non-coding RNA (BNAP_LNC005628)
Source: RNAcentral
CUAUUUCUCCUGUUGUAACAAAAAUCUACGAGUAAUAAUAAACACAUUAAGUUAUAGCCAUCACACGUUAGAAAUGCUCACACUGAAUGACGAUACAACAUGAGAUAUCACUAUAACAAUCAUAGCCAAGAUGAUGAAGAACGGCCAAUGCAACAAGAUAUAUCAUAUUUAGAGUUGGCCAAACUUCAAGGACCACUGUCAACAAAGUUACGUAGUCAUAACCAAAAUUAUGAAAAAAAUUCAUUUAAUAAAAAGUCUUUAAAAAUGUUUCAACCCGCCCCCUUC